GGGGAUAUAGCUCAGUGGUAGAGCAUGCUGUGCAUGUUUGAGGUCCUGGGUUUGAUCCCCAGCAUCUCCA
Molecule: transfer RNA, 70 nt
Filed under: Sus scrofa (pig)
Lineage: Eukaryota; Metazoa; Chordata; Mammalia; Artiodactyla; Suidae
Rfam family: tRNA
About the family: Transfer RNA (tRNA) molecules are approximately 80 nucleotides in length. Their secondary structure includes four short double-helical elements and three loops (D, anti-codon, and T loops).
Source: Rfam by way of RNAcentral